This 459-nucleotide ribosomal RNA is filed under the name uncultured bacterium. Its description in RNAcentral is "partial 16S ribosomal RNA". It matches the Rfam family "Bacterial small subunit ribosomal RNA", at positions 338 to 795 of the family's 1533-position model. The record is from RNAcentral.
CCUACGGGCGGCAGCAGUGAGGAAUAUUGGUCAAUGGGCGCGAGCCUGAACCAGCCAAGUCGCGGGAGGGACGACGGUCCUAUGGAUUGUAAACCUCUUUUGUAGGGGAGCAAAAGACGCCACGCGUGGCGUUCCGAGAGUACCCGAAGAAAAAGCAUAGGCUAACUCCGUGCCAGCAGCCGCGGUAAAACGGAGGAUGCGAGAGUUAUCCGGAUUUAUUGGGUUUAAAGGGUGCGCAGGCGGAAGAUCAAGUCAGAGGUAAAAUUGAGAGGCUCAACCUCUUCGAGCCGUUGAAACUGGUUUUCUUGAGUGAGCGAGAGGUAUGCGGAAUGCGUGGUGUAGCGGUGAAAUGCAUAGAUAUCACGCAGAACUCCGAUUGCGAAGGCAGCAUACCGGCGCUCAACUGACGCUCAUGCACGAAAGUAUGGGUAGCGAACAGGAUUAGAUACCCUAGUAGUC